Long non-coding RNA from Myxocyprinus asiaticus (Chinese sucker), 768 nucleotides. RefSeq lists it as uncharacterized. The record is from RefSeq and is a predicted model, not a curated record. The transcript is spliced from 2 exons. Lineage: Eukaryota; Metazoa; Chordata; Actinopteri; Cypriniformes; Catostomidae.
GUUGGUGCUGUUUUGGUGGCACGAGGGGGACCUACACAAUAUUAGGCAGGUGGUUUUAAUGUUGUGGCUGAUCGGAGUAUGUAUUAUUAGUAUUAUUACUACAAAAAUACACAUUGUUAAUAAUGCUAUGAACAUUACGUGCCAAAUACGAAAGGAAAAGGAGACCAAGACCAUAUUGGAGAAAAAAACGUCAACACAACAAUGCAUGGAAUGUCAAGAGAAAGGGAAAUUUCAUGUUGCUGAAAUGAGAUGCACUGUGACAUCACUAUGCAGCAUGUUCCAUUUUGAUUCCAGUAAGGAGCAUGUUAUGAAGAAAUUUCAGCCUGGACAAAACAUUGAGCAGCAGGACUGCAAGCAACACACCUUGAAUCUACAGGCCUCAUCAUUUCCAUCGUACUGAAACACAUAUGGAAAGCAUCUUUUAAAAAGGACUAUCCUGAAAAUGUAUUGCUUUCUGUUCAUGAGCCACCAGCCCUGCUGACAGCGAAACUUAAUGGUACAAACUUUGUUUGAGCAAGUGCAAGUAGAUUUUUAUAGUCCUGUUUUAAAAGCAUGAAGACAGUAAAAGUGAGAGAAUGAGCUUUUGGCUCUUUUAUGCUUUAUGGGAUGUGGAAUAAUAUAAGAGCUGCAAUUUUAUACAUUCUUAGCAAUGGCUUUCUUAAAGGGACCUCUCUAUAGCCUACUUUUCGCUUUGGCUGUUGUGCUAACUUGAUUUUCCCAUUUAGGGUAGAACUCAGAUGCUGUUAUAAUAAAAGAUUGUGAUGAUUA